CCCUUAGAUGUUCUGGGCCGCACGCGCGCUACACUGACGGAUUCAACGAGCUUACAACCUUGGCCGAAAGGUCUGGGUAAUCUCCAAAAUCCGUCGUGAUGGGGAUAGAUUAUUGCAAUUAUUAAUCUUCAACGAGGAAUUCCUAGUAAGCGCGAGUCAUCAGCUCGUGCUGAUUACGUCCCUGCCCUUUGUACACACCGCCCGUCGCUGCAACUGAUUGGGUGACCUGGUGAACAUCUUGGACCGGCCCACUCAAUUUCGAGAGGACUGGAAAAAGCCGUAAAUCGGGUACAUCUAGAAAUUGCAAGUCGUAACA
RNAcentral lists this ribosomal RNA (316 nucleotides) under uncultured eukaryote. Its description in RNAcentral is "partial 18S ribosomal RNA". It matches the Rfam family "Eukaryotic small subunit ribosomal RNA", at positions 1470 to 1796 of the family's 1831-position model. The record is from RNAcentral.